AUGAAAUGAGUUUCUUGUACCCAUUUUUAUGGCCAGUAUGGAAUUGUCAGAAAAAGGGUACUUUUCUGUGACAUAAAAAAUGGGUACUUUAACCUCAUUGUGAAGUAUCCUUCCAGCUAAUAUAAAUGGGUAAAUAGUGCACAUGAUAGUUUGCAAAUCAACAUCGCCAUUUUUCAAUUUCUGUUUAUUUUUACCGCUCGGUGUUAGUGAAAAGUUAGUGGUUUUAUCAAUUGUACGAUAUAUUCUUAUGGACGAAAAGAUUGUUCAUACUAUUUUCGACACAUUUGUGGAUGACCGCAUCAGCGUAGUUCAUUGCCGACUGCAGCGAUUUCGUGAGUGCCUGGGUUGUCUGCUAGAUGAUCGCAUACGUGUUGGAAUUCAUUUUUUAACUUUGAAAUAAAUGUGCGUUGUAUUUUA
This is a long non-coding RNA of Aedes aegypti (yellow fever mosquito), 417 nucleotides long. RefSeq lists it as uncharacterized. Lineage: Eukaryota; Metazoa; Arthropoda; Insecta; Diptera; Culicidae. The transcript is spliced from 2 exons. The record is from RefSeq and is a predicted model, not a curated record.